UACGGAGAGUGCAAACGUUGUUCGGAUUCACUGGGCGUAAAGGGCACGUAGGCGGCUCGGCAAAUCGGUCGUGGAAUCCAGACGCUUACCGUCUGAACGGCGGCCGAAAAUACCGGGCUCGAGGGCGUGAGGGGUCACUGGAACUCCUGGUGAAGCGGUGAAAUGCGUAGAUAUCAGGAGGAACACCGGUGGCGAAGGCGGAUCUCUGGGCCGUAACUGACGCUGAGGAGCGAAAGCAUGGGGAGCGAACAGG
RNAcentral lists this ribosomal RNA (253 nucleotides) under uncultured bacterium. RNAcentral's name for it is "partial 16S ribosomal RNA". It matches the Rfam family "Bacterial small subunit ribosomal RNA", at positions 524 to 776 of the family's 1533-position model. The record is from RNAcentral.